Long non-coding RNA from Lathyrus oleraceus (garden pea), 686 nucleotides. RefSeq lists it as uncharacterized. The transcript has 3 exons. NCBI's taxonomy places the organism in Eukaryota, Viridiplantae, Streptophyta, Magnoliopsida, Fabales, Fabaceae. The record is from RefSeq and is a predicted model, not a curated record.
AAAGAUGUUGAAGGAUCUCUGUUUGUCGUCAAGAGGAAUGCUCAACCGCAGUUUCAGUUUAUCGUUAUGAAUCGCAGAAAUACAGGUUCAGAUUUGUUGAAAUUUUACUGUUCUUCAGAUUUGGUAUAAAGAUCCUUUAUAUUUGUAUAAGAUCAUGUUUUACUGUUUUGCUGAUUACGUUAAAUUGAAACCUAAUGAACUUGUUAUUGUUGCCAUUGCUGCGCAAAUCUUAAUUCCUGAACUAAUAAUAUCCAAAUGUAGUUACUGCUUAAUAUUAAUUCCAUGAUAGGUAAUCAAUCAAACAGUUUAUCUUUGAUGUUAUUGUCUGCUGAUUUCUUCUAAAUUAAUUAUCGUCACUAUGAAAUAUAUUUACUACUUUCUGCAUCAAACAGUUUUACUGUCCCUACUCUCUGUGUCGGUUGUGUGUAUGUCUGAAUCUGUGUCAUCUAUUCCCUAUUUGAUUUGACCACUUUCUGUGAUGUUUGUUAUGGCAGAAAAUCUAGUGGAGAAUCUAUUGGAUUUUGAGUAUGAACUUAAAAGUCCAUACUUGUUAUAUCGGAAUGCGUCGCAAGAAGUUAAUGGUAUAUGGUUUUAUAAUGCAGAAGAAUCUGAAGAAGUUGCAAAUCUCUUUAAUAGGAUUCUUACUGCACACCCAAAGGAGCCUUCAAAUACGACAGUGCCUUCAA